RNAcentral lists this ribosomal RNA (445 nucleotides) under uncultured Bradyrhizobiaceae bacterium. Its description in RNAcentral is "bacterial SSU rRNA". It matches the Rfam family "Bacterial small subunit ribosomal RNA", at positions 335 to 797 of the family's 1533-position model. The record is from RNAcentral. Lineage: Bacteria; Pseudomonadati; Pseudomonadota; Alphaproteobacteria; Hyphomicrobiales; Nitrobacteraceae.
UUUCCUACGGGCGGCUGCAGUGGGGAAUAUUGGACAAUGGGCGAAAGCCUGAUCCAGCCAUGCCGCGUGAGUGAUGAAGGCCCUAGGGUUGUAAAGCUCUUUUGUGCGGGAAGAUAAUGACGGUACCGCAAGAAUAAGCCCCGGCUAACUUCGUGCCAGCAGCCGCGGUAAUACGAAGGGGGCUAGCGUUGCUCGGAAUCACUGGGCGUAAAGGGUGCGUAGGCGGAUUUUUAAGUCAGGGGUGAAAUCCUGGAGCUCAACUCCAGAACUGCCUUUGAUACUGGGAAUCUUGAGUUCGGGAGAGGUGAGUGGAACUGCGAGUGUAGAGGUGAAAUUCGUAGAUAUUCGCAAGAACACCAGUGGCGAAGGCGGCUCACUGGCCCGAUACUGACGCUGAGGCACGAAAGCGUGGGGAGCAAACAGGAUUAGAUACCCGUGUAGUCCC